RNAcentral lists this ribosomal RNA (297 nucleotides) under Triticum aestivum (bread wheat). RNAcentral's name for it is "partial small subunit ribosomal RNA". The record is from RNAcentral. Lineage: Eukaryota; Viridiplantae; Streptophyta; Magnoliopsida; Poales; Poaceae.
AUGAAGGCAUACACGGCAGUCGAGGACAAGCUUCUUUGCGAGUGUUGGGGGGACAUUGGACAAGACCCCAAGACCGGUGCCGAACAAAAGCAUUCAACCUUUUGCAUUCGUGUCCACCGGGAGUUUCAUGAGCGCAAGAAGUUUCCUCCUUAUCAAAUUGUGAGCACGCGUGGGUGGGUGUCCAUUUAGAAGCGAUGGAGAGUGAUCCAACAAGAGUGCAACAAGUUUUGUGCCACUCUUGAGAGCGUCAAGGCCCGCCCCGUGAGCAACAUCGGCAUGCAAGACAUUGUAUGGUAG